CGUCUAUAUACGUAUAGCAUAUCAAUAAGCGGAGGAAAAGAAACUAACUAGGAUUCCCUCAGUAACGGCGAGUGAAGCGGGAAGAGCUCAAAUUUGAAAUCUUCAAGGUUCUACCUUGACGAAUUGUAGUUUAAAGAAGUGUUUUCUGUUGGAGUUUUGGUAAAAGUUCUUUGGAAUAGGACAUCAUAGAGGGUGAGAAUCCCGUAUUUGACCAUUAUUUCCAACUUUGUGAUACACUUUCAAAGAGUCGGAUUGUUUGGGAAUGCAGUCCAAAAUGGGUGGUAAAUUUCAUCUAAAGCUAAAUACUGGCGAGAGACCGAUAGCGAACAAGUACCGUGAGGGAAAGAUGAAAAGAACUUUGAAAAGAGAGUUAAACAGUACGUGAAAUUGUCAAAAGGGAAGCGUUUGACACCAGUGUUGUUUUCUCGAAAAUCAAUUAAAAAUGGCGGGAUUUUGUGUUGUAUUGACUUUAUCAGCUUUCUGCACUCUUUUCCUUGUCUUUUUUAAUGCACUUUUCGUUUAACAAGUCAACAUCAAUUUCUUUUGUUGUAAAAGAGUCAUUGGAAGGUGGCUUUCUUUUCGGAGAAAGUGUUUAUAGCCUUUGACUUCUACAAUCGGAGAGAUUGAGGUCUGCAGCGUAGAUCCUUCGGGGUUAGAUACAUUUGUGCUAAGUUAUAGCCUUUCAUAGACAACUUGUUGACUAUGAUCAGUCAUGUAGCUUACUCGCUUAUGCUAUUUUACCUACGCUUAGGAUGUUGAUCUGUAGUGCGUGCGC
RNAcentral lists this ribosomal RNA (775 nucleotides) under uncultured Neocallimastigales. RNAcentral describes it as "partial large subunit ribosomal RNA". It matches the Rfam family "Eukaryotic large subunit ribosomal RNA", at positions 26 to 646 of the family's 3401-position model. Lineage: Eukaryota; Fungi; Neocallimastigomycota; Neocallimastigomycetes; Neocallimastigales. The record is from RNAcentral.